This is a long non-coding RNA of Amphiprion ocellaris (clown anemonefish), 991 nucleotides long. The record is from Ensembl. NCBI's taxonomy places the organism in Eukaryota, Metazoa, Chordata, Actinopteri, Pomacentridae.
GUUUGCUUCAUGAGCUACCGCGCAUGUGUCGAAGCCUCGGAUAUCAGAGGACCAUCACUACUGGUAGCAUCUCUGGCUGCUGCUGAUCUUGUUUUUGGAGUAAAACACGGUGGAAGCUGAAUUAGUGAGGAUGACUCCUGCUCCUGUCAUCUCUAAGCUCCUCACACAUCUUUACCUGCACAUGAGGAAAAUCACUCCUGUAGAAUGCAGAUGUUCAGAGGGAGAUGAUGCCACAUCUGGUCCAGCUGAUGGAAGGUCUUGAAGUUCUCUGACUGGCCUCGACUGAAGAUGGUCGUCCCACUGGAUUUAAGGUUCAGAUGCUCAGUAACAAACUCCACCAAUGUGCCAACAGGGAAGCUUUAGGUUUAUUAAAUGUUGCUAUGAAGGUAUCACUGUUUUUCUUUGUGAAUGUAAUGUGCUCCAACUGAAACUUGAAUUAGAACUUAGAAGUAAAUCCUUCCAUCUGAAAGGAUUUAGUUGCAUUAAUAACCUCAUAACAUUCUAAUUUUUAUUCCAGUCUUGGUUGGAAAUAGAAUCUCUGUAUUGAUUCAGGUAAAAACUGAACUUCACAGCAUGUUGAAGCAAAACAACCAGAUGAAAACUGUGAUGGUGUUGGAUUGUCAGACCGUAAUGUUGCAGCUCAAAGCAGCUUUUCUAGCUCAGUUCAUUCUGACAUUCAGCUAUGAAUCAACACAGCAGAUGGUGAUCCAUGCUGUGGAAGUCUCACAUCUCCUGAUUUAAUGGAGCUGCUUUGCACUUUUUACACUGUUUAUUCACCAACACUUUAUUUAAUAAAAUCCCAUCUAGUUUUUAUGAGGAAUGUGAUGUUUUAAUUUCUCUGUGAAUAACUGCAGUCUAAUGCAACAGCUGGAGUUGUAACAUCUGUCCUGAUAUUUAUCAUGAAGUAUUGAUCAGAAUACUUAUGGUUAGCAGUCAUCCCUGAAGUUUUACAUUAAAAUCUUUACUUGUGUUGUGAACUUUGGUAAGAAGC